GAUGAACGCUGGCGGCGUGCCUAAUACAUGCAAGUCGAGCGAACGGACGAGAAGCUUGCUUCUCUGAUGUUAGCGGCGGACGGGUGAGUAACACGUGGAUAACCUACCUAUAAGACUGGGAUAACUUCGGGAAACCGGAGCUAAUACCGGAUAAUAUUUUGAACCGCAUGGUUCAAAAGUGAAAGACGGUCUUGCUGUCACUUAUAGAUGGAUCCGCGCUGCAUUAGCUAGUUGGUAAGGUAACGGCUUACCAAGGCAACGAUGCAUAGCCGACCUGAGAGGGUGAUCGGCCACACUGGAACUGAGACACGGUCCAGACUCCUACGGGAGGCAGCAGUAGGGAAUCUUCCGCAAUGGGCGAAAGCCUGACGGAGCAACGCCGCGUGAGUGAUGAAGGUCUUCGGAUCGUAAAACUCUGUUAUCAGGGAAGAACAUAUGUGUAAGUAACUGUGCACAUCUUGACGGCACCUAAUCAGAAAGCCACGGCUAACUACGUG
This 497-nucleotide ribosomal RNA is filed under the name uncultured bacterium. Its description in RNAcentral is "partial 16S ribosomal RNA". It matches the Rfam family "Bacterial small subunit ribosomal RNA", at positions 28 to 507 of the family's 1533-position model. The record is from RNAcentral.